RNAcentral lists this ribosomal RNA (962 nucleotides) under Salmonella enterica subsp. enterica serovar Paratyphi B var. L(+) tartrate +. Its description in RNAcentral is "partial 23S ribosomal RNA". It matches the Rfam family "Bacterial large subunit ribosomal RNA", at positions 191 to 1191 of the family's 2925-position model. Lineage: Bacteria; Pseudomonadati; Pseudomonadota; Gammaproteobacteria; Enterobacterales; Enterobacteriaceae. The record is from RNAcentral.
AACUGAAACAUCUAAGUACCCCGAGGAAAAGAAAUCAACCGAGAUUCCCCCAGUAGCGGCGAGCGAACGGGGAGGAGCCCAGAGCCUGAAUCAGCAUGUGUGUUAGUGGAAGCGUCUGGAAAGGCGCGCGAUACAGGGUGACAGCCCCGUACACAAAAGCGCAUGUGUUGUGAGCUCGAUGAGUAGGGCGGGACACGUGGUAUCCUGUCUGAAUAUGGGGGGACCAUCCUCCAAGGCUAAAUACUCCUGACUGACCGAUAGUGAACCAGUACCGUGAGGGAAAGGCGAAAAGAACCCCGGCGAGGGGAGUGAAAAAGAACCUGAAACCGUGUACGUACAAGCAGUGGGAGCACAGGUUUACCUGUGUGACUGCGUACCUUUUGUAUAAUGGGUCAGCGACUUAUAUUCUGUAGCAAGGUUAACCGAAUAGGGGAGCCGGAGGGAAACCGAGUCUUAACCGGGCGUUAAGUUGCAGGGUAUAGACCCGAAACCCGGUGAUCUAGCCAUGGGCAGGUUGAAGGUUGGGUAACACUAACUGGAGGACCGAACCGACUAAUGUUGAAAAAUUAGCGGAUGACCUGUGGCUGGGGGUGAAAGGCCAAUCAAACCGGGAGAUAGCUGGUUCUCCCCGAAAGCUAUUUAGGUAGCGCCUCGUGAAUUCAUCUCCGGGGGUAGAGCACUGUUUCGGCUAGGGGGCCAUCCCGGCUUACCAACCCGAUGCAAACUGCGAAUACCGGAGAAUGUUAUCACGGGAGACACACGGCGGGUGCUAACGUCCGUCGUGAAGAGGGAAACAACCCAGACCGCCAGCUAAGGUCCCAAAGUCAUGGUUAAGUGGGAAACGAUGUGGGAAGGCCCAGACAGCCAGGAUGUUGGCUUAGAAGCAGCCAUCAUUUAAAGAAAGCGUAAUAGCUCACUGGUCGAGUCGGCCUGCGCGGAAGAUGUAACGGGGCUAAACCAUG